CCUACGGGAGGCAGCAGUGGGGAAUAUUGGGCAAUGGAGGAAACUCUGACCCAGCGACGCCGCGUGCGGGAUGAAGGCCUUCGGGUUGUAAACCGCUUUCAGUAGGGAAGAAGCGAAAGUGACGGUACCUACAAAAGAAGCACCGGCUAACUAUGUGCCAGCAGCCGCGGUAAUACAUAGGGUGCAAGCGUUGUCCGGAAUUAUUGGGCGUAAAGAGCUCGUAGGUCGUUUGUUACGUCGGAUGUGAAAACCUGAGGCUCAACCUCAGGCCUGCAUUCGAUACGGGCAAACUAGAGUUUGGUAGGGGAGACUGGAAUUCCUGGUGUAGCGGUGGAAUGCGCAGAUAUCAGGAGGAACACCGAAUGGCGAAGGCAGGUCUCUGGGCCAAUACUGACACUGAGGAGCGAAAGUCUGGGGAGCGAACAGGAUUAGAUACCCUGGUAGUCCAGACCGUAAACGGUGGGCGACUAGUUAGUGGGUAACCGUUACCUACCGGUUACGUUGCGACGCGACGCGUACGUACAUAAGUUAGCCCGCCGUCGGGAGGUACGAGUCGCAGAUUAAACUACAAGGAAUUAGACGGCGUGAGACGUAGACGACGACGACGACGACGGAGGAGAG
This 621-nucleotide ribosomal RNA is filed under the name uncultured bacterium. RNAcentral describes it as "bacterial SSU rRNA". The stretch from base 1 to 538 matches the Rfam family "Bacterial small subunit ribosomal RNA", at positions 338 to 873 of the family's 1533-position model. The record is from RNAcentral.